This 802-nucleotide ribosomal RNA is filed under the name uncultured archaeon. RNAcentral's name for it is "bacterial SSU rRNA". It matches the Rfam family "Archaeal small subunit ribosomal RNA", at positions 132 to 936 of the family's 1478-position model. The record is from RNAcentral.
CCGGGAACUGGGUAUAAUUCCCGAUAGAUCUGAGAGGCUGGAAUGCACUCUGAUCGAAAGCUCCGGCACCCAAGGAUGGGUCUGCGGCCUAUCAGGUUGUAGUGGGUGUAAUGUACCUACUAGCCUACUACGGGUACGGGUUGUGAGAGCAAGAGCCCGGAGAUGGAUUCUGAGACACGAAUCCAGGCCCUACGGGGUGCAGCAGGCGCGAAACCUUUACAAUGCGGGCAACCGCGAUAAGGGGACCUCGAGUGCCGGCAUACAAUGUCGGCUGUCGUGAUGCCUAAAAAGCAUUAUAUAGCAAGGGCCGGGCAAGACCGGUGCCAGCCGCCGCGGUAACACCGGCGGCUCGAGUGGUGACCGCUAUUAUUGGGUUUAAAGGGUCUGUAGCCGGCCGGAUAAGUCUCUUGGGAAAUCUGGCCGCUUAACGGUCAGGCUUUCAGGAGAUACUGUCUGGCUCGAGGCCGGGAGAGGUGAGAGGUACUUCAGGGGUAGGGGUGAAAUCUUGUAAUCCUUGGAGGACCCCCAGUGGCGAAGGCGUCUCACCAAAACGGACCUGACGGCAAGGGACGAAAGCUAGGGGCACGAACCGGAUUAGAUACCCGGGUAGUCCUAGCCGUAAACGAUACUCGCUAGGUGUCGGCCGCGGUGCGACCGUGGUCGGUGCCGUAGGGAAACCGUGAAGCGAGCCACCUGGGAAGUACGGCCGCAAGGCUGAAACUUAAAGGAAUUGGCGGGGGAGCACCACAACGGGUGGAGCGUGCGGUUUAAUUGGAUUCAACGCCGGGAAGCUUACCGGGAU